UUAAAGUGAUGUAAAAAUAUUUGCUACUCUUGAAAUAGCAUGAUGAGACAACCACCAAGAUCUCUGAUUCA
Paramecium tetraurelia is the source of this 71-nucleotide small nucleolar RNA. It matches the Rfam family "Small nucleolar RNA SNORD24". From Rfam's summary of the family: U24 is a member of the C/D class of snoRNA which contain the C (UGAUGA) and D (CUGA) box motifs. C/D box snoRNAs have been shown to act as methylation guides for a number of RNA targets. U24 is encoded within an intron of the gene for ribosomal protein L7a in mammals, chicken and Fugu. NCBI's taxonomy places the organism in Eukaryota, Ciliophora, Oligohymenophorea, Peniculida, Parameciidae. The record is from Rfam.